This 106-nucleotide ribosomal RNA is filed under the name uncultured bacterium. Its description in RNAcentral is "partial 16S ribosomal RNA". The record is from RNAcentral.
CCUUGUACACACCGCCCGUCACACCAUGGGAAGUGGGUUACCACCAGAAAGUAGUUAGCCUAACCGCAAGGGGGCGACUACCACGGUGAGAUUCAUGACUGGGGUG